Long non-coding RNA from Pan paniscus (pygmy chimpanzee), 802 nucleotides. The record is from Ensembl. Lineage: Eukaryota; Metazoa; Chordata; Mammalia; Primates; Hominidae.
GUUGUUACCAUUGUUGUUUUUCUUUUUCCUGCUUGUCUUCCUGUUCACUACAAUUAAUAAGGAAUUUUUUACUUUGUGACUUCUGGUUCUGGCUAUCUGCUCUUGUAUCACAGACAACUAAUAUGAAUUUUUUUUCAGUUGCAGUGCAAUAAAUUAUUAUUGUAAAUGUUCUCCCCACACCUCUUUUGCUCCAAGAUAAAUAAUUUGAAUGACAAUAAAUAUGGAGAAAGUAUUCAAAGAGAAUGGGGGCAAAAUUUAUUGGCCAAAAAUCACCAAAAUCCAGUGAAUUUAGGGAAACCUACUGCAUUUCAACUGAAUGGUUCCCGGAUUAGUUCAUCCCUGUACCUUAGUACUCAAAAUUCUUUCUGAAUCUUGGAAAUAAAAAGAAAACAUUACUUGGGUGAACAUGUAGUAUCACUGUGAUUUAAUGUACUGCUUUGUUUAAUGCUCACAAUAAUUUUGUGAAGAUGUAUUCUUAUCCUUAGUUUUUGACUGUAUGAGCAAUCUGAGGCUCAGGUUGUUUCUCUAAGUUUCCCAGUGUCAGGGUGCUAAUAAAUAGCAAAGGUAGAACUGAAAUUGUUUUUUCUUACUUCAAAAACAAUGUUAUUUUCAUUUCAGCACAGAGGCCAAUGGAUAGCUGGAAAUGGUUCAGAACUGUAUAAGCCUGUUGCCACUAAAUUGGAGGUGGACAUUUGCCCACAAUAUCAAACCAUUUUUAUGGUGAUGCUUUAUGAAUACACCUACUUUGUUUUGGAAGUUAUGUAUAAAUGUAUAUCUAUAUGUCUAUGUAUCUAUUAUCUAU